Molecule: long non-coding RNA, 6572 nt
Filed under: Sus scrofa (pig)
Lineage: Eukaryota; Metazoa; Chordata; Mammalia; Artiodactyla; Suidae
Description: lncRNA (ENSSSCG00015063735.1)
Source: RNAcentral
UUUUUUUUUUUUUUUUUUUUUUUUUUUUUUUUUUUUUUAAGACUAUAGUUGUGUAGGAGUUCCCGUCAUGGUACAGUGGUUAAUGAAUCCGACUAGGAACCAUGAGGUUGCGGGUUCAAUCCCUGGCCUUGCUCAGUGGGUUAAGGAUCCGGUGUUGCCAUGAGCUGUGGUGUAGGUUCCAGAUGCGGCUCGGAUCCCACGUUGCUGUGACUGUGGUGUAGCCCAGCAGCUACAGCUCCAAUUGGACCCCUAGCCUGGGAAUCUCCAUAUGCCAUGGGUGCGGCCCUAGAAGAGACAGAAAGACAAAAAAAAAAAAAAAAGAGGAUAGUUGUUUACAGUGUCAUGUCAAUUUCUGCUGUACAACAUAGGGACCCAUAGAGACCUUAAAAAGUGUCAUGCUUUUAUAUACACUCUUUUACCAGCUCUCCCUGGCAAUUUAGACACCUCUGCUGACUCUAGACUCCUCCCAUUUGCUAUGAUUCUAAUUUGUCCUGGACCAGGUGGUCCACCAGGUAACCCUUUCUCCAGGGCACCUUGAGCUGCCCAACCAUAGCAACUCCCCAUUGGCAAUGCCUCCUAGCCAAAUUCCCAUCACUUUCUGGGUGGUCAUCUCUGCCUGGCCACGCGACACGUGGAUAUGGUCACAGCCUGGAAUGACAAUAUAUUCAGCAGAGUCUCCAAUGGUAAGAAGUACAAGAUCCCUUCUGUCCUUGGUUAUACUUAUUCAAUAUGCUUCCCAACUUUCUGGGCCAAAGCUGGGAGAACAUACAACGUAAAUUGAUCUCUCACCUCCUCAUUCCUUCUUUCUCUUCCUGUGUCUUUUUAACUACCUCACAAAGUCCCAAAAAGUCAGAUAGCCUCUCUACCAUCACAUCAUUCCUUCCAUCUUUCACUGCAGCUUCCAGGAGAUGCCUUAAUGGAGCACAGGGAUGUUUUUUUGGUACCCACUGGGGGCACUCCAUAAGCUGGCUCAAUCAGAACGCAUUGUUGAAAAGCUAAAGGGCAAGAUUAAAGAAAUUUAGAAUUCCUCUUUUAGGACAACACCUGGCUUGCAAGGUUAUCUUCUGGCUGAAAAAUUCUAUUCUACAUGUCAGAGGAAGGAUAUUAACAUGCCCUUUCUUUCUGCGUUGCUUCUUUUAUAAAUCAUGACCUACCCCCAGGAUGAUGGAUGCCUCCAGUCAGCUAGAGCAAAGGUCAAGAAAAGAAAAAAGCAAAAUAGAAAAACACGUUAAUUUUUAAGGCACCCCCUUCAUUAAAUCAUUAUUAAUAGUUAUAAUUAUUCUUUUCUUUCUUCCUCUAAUUUGGCUUAGAACUUCUCAACUCUAUAUUAUGCAUAAGAAUUCAUGUGAACAUGUGGGUCCUGUUGAAAGUCUCAUUCAAACAAACCAGCUGUUAAAGAAAAGCUUUUUAGCAAAUGAAGGAAAGCUGGUAUUAGAUGAUACCAAUAAGUUACGGUUAAUUUUGUUGGGUGUGAUCAUGUCAUUACAGCAUGAUUUAAAAAAAAAAAAAGACUUUUUAAAAUGUAGGCAAAUACUUAAUAUAAACAAAUGACAUGAUGUCUAUAAUUUGCUUUAAAUUAUUGCAGCAAAAUAAAAGGUGUGAAGGCUAGUUGGUAGAUGAACCAAUACGGUAAAAUGCUGAGUUGAAGCAGAGUAAUGGCUACAGAGAGAUUUUUCUGUACACAAUUUAUUUCUGUGUGAGAUAGACAUUUUCAAAAUAAAAAGAUUUUCAAUUCAAUUAGAAAUUAGCACAAAUCAUGUGUGCUAUACUUAGUAGUCAGGUCAAAGGUAAUAUUGAUUAUAUGCAAUUUUCACUUUACGGGAUCAGGUAUAACUCAACCCAAUGGCAAUACCUAACUCACCAUCCCGUUGGCAGCAUGGAGUCUUUUCAGUUUCCCAAUAUUGACUAAUUUCAAAAAAGAAAUUAUGUUUUUUUAAAUCUACAUUUGGGAGGUUUUAAUAAGGUUAAAUCCUUUUCAUAUAUUACCCAGUAAAUGUUUAGAAGCUCUUUCAAAAUGGCUAGUCCUCCAAGAAGAGAUUUGAAUUCUAAAAAUCACCAAAAGCCAUUUAUUGCUACUUAGCAAAGAAGCAGGCCAUCAGCAGGGAGAAUAGACAGACCUCAUCUUUAACCCCCAAAUCUUAAAAAGGACUAUGCCUCAUAUUUUCCCAGGCCCUACAAACAGCCUCAGAAAACCCUCCUCAUCCAAGAAGAUGCAAGAGCUCUCACUGACGUCAGCUCACUAAAGUAAGGAAACCAUUUCUCAAAUUUGACAGACCUAACAGUCCUUUGAAUGGCAUUAACAAUGUUGAUGAUGACAGCUAUAAUGUAUUUUGCACCAACUAUGUGCCAGGCGUCAUCCACAGUACCUCUCAAAAAUUUCCAGAAAAGUGCCUCCAUGCACAGAACAAAUAAGAGAACCCAGCUGGUUUUAAAAAUUUAGCUCGAGGCCAAUUGGAGCAUGUGCAAAAAUUCAUGGAAGUCUCCUAUUUUAUCUUGUAAAAGAAUGUGACUUUUCCAUUCUGUCCCUCAUAAUAGCAUGAGCUAACAUUUAUUGAGCACUUAAAAGAGAUGCUGUCUUAAGCUAUUUUCAUGUAUUAAGUCUUCUUUGAGGUGUUUCUAUGAAGCUCCACUAGUAUUACCUCUAUCAUGCAAAUGAGAAUACUGAGAUUAAGUAGCUUAACCUGAGAAGUUAAGUAGAUUACCUGAGGUUGCACAGCCGGCAAGUGUCAAAACAGAAUUGGGGCCCAGACAGUCUGGCUCCAGAGACUGUGUGCUUCCCACUAUAAUUCCUCCAGAGGGUAUUAAUGUUCUCUUUAAAUUGCAAAAUCAAUUUUAUCUCCUAAUUUUCUGUGCAUCUAUGAUUUAGAACAUCAUAGCCCUUCUGUUCCUUCUCAAGGCCCUGACCUGUAUGACUGGGUGCUCAGAGUUACGACAACCCAGUUAGAGAAGCACAAACAUGCGCUAUUAUCUCCAGUCCUCGUAACGACAAAGUAAAUAUUAUUAUUCUCUCUAACACUUUGCCAAAUGAAGGUGACUCCCCUUCUUCAAGAUAGGCCUUACUUUCAUUUUUUAUAAAAAUGGAUGAAACUGGAGUUCCCAUUGUGUCUCAGUGGUUGGGUUUUGUGGUGAGGGGAAUAUUUUGGAUUCUUGCCCCACCUGCUACCGUACCAAGCAGGUAUUUCCAUUCAGCAGCACUUGCCAGUGUAAGAAUAUGAAAGUAUAAACCGCUACUCUCCAACCUAGGAUUACAAAGAAGAGGGAGGCACCCAGGACGUCAGCACAGCCAGGCUCGCAGGAAGGCUCAGUUUGAAUUCAUCCACACAUCAAACAUGGAUCACGCAUGGACUGGGCACUUGGCUGGCACUGUGAAUCACAUGGGCAUAAUCAUAUAAUGAUACGAGGCAUGGUUAGCCCUAUUUUAACAAUGAGAAACAAACUUUAGAAAAAUUAAGCAAUGGAGAUCCCAUCAUGGCUCAGCAGAAACAAAUCUGACUAGGAUCCAUGAGGACACAGGUUCAAUCCCUGGUCUCGCUCAGUGGAUUAAAGAUCCAGCCACACCGUGAGCUGUGGUGUAGGUUGCAGACGCUGCUCAGAUCUGGCGUGGCUGUGGCUGUGACUGACAGCUUUAGCUCUGAUUCGACCCCUAGCCUGGGAACCUCCUAAAAGAAAAAAAAAAGAAAAUUCAAGCGUCAAGGUCCUAUGACGCUGGGAAAUGUCCACACUGUUUCAAACCAGGUUUCUGGGCUGACACAUCCAGCAUCUCCCCACAUCUAAGGCCCCACUCACAUUCUAGUGAGGACUCAGACCUGUACUUGGACAAGCGUCACACACUGUGAUAAGGGUGCCAGGAAAGCAGAGCUGUUCAGAGAAUAGACGUGAACUUGGACAAACCUAGAGGUCCACUGAGCUCUGCAGCCUACUAGCUGUGUGGUUUGUUAUUUAAACUCUCACCUGUAACAUGGAGUUAUCAAGUCCUACUUCAUAGGGGUGGUGAGGAUUAAGCCCAGUGCCUGGCACAUGGCAGCAGCUCGCUAUCCGGGAGCUGCUGUGUCAUCAGUGAAACAGAGUGCGUGGGAGGGAGCCUGUAAGAGAGAGAAGCUGGACCCAAAGCCAGAUCCACCAGGCAGGGUCAUUCCUGUGCAGCUGGAGUCCCAGUGGGAUGAGGCCUCUGUCUGGGGGUUGCCAGGAGCAUAUAAACCCCUGAGACAAGAGAUUAUUAUUGCUCUAUCUUCCACCUUCUGCCUGGGAAGAGGGGACUCCAGGAACUUAAGCUUAGCCAGGGGAGCUGAGCCAUCAGAAAGAUGGCAUGAGCUUUCCCGUCCAGGGGACCCUCUAAUGCAGACUCCCCUUCAAGCGGGUGGGGGCUAUACCCUCCUCACUCCAUUCCUAGCUCCAUGGCUUUGGGAAGGAAAUGAGCCUCGCUGAGGUUCCGUUGCCUCAUCCUUAAAUUGUGCAAGGCAGGAGUCCCCGUUGUGCCUCAGUGGUAACAAAUCCGAUUACUAUCCAUGAGGGUGCAGGUUUGAUCCCUGGCAUCACUCAAUGGGUUAAGGAUCCAACAUUGCUGUGGAUGUGGCAUAGGCCAGCAGCUGCAGCUCCAAUUCGACCCCUAGGCUGGGAACUUCCAUAUGCUGCCAGUGUGACCCUAAAAAGCAAAAAUAAAUAAAUAAAUAAAUAAAUAGUGCAGGUCCAUGCCUACCUCAUUAUUAAGGAAAGAAUGUGUGCAAACCACCCAGUGCAGUGCCUGGCAUACAGCAGUGCUGGGGAGACAGCAGGUAUAUUACCUGCCCCCUUCACACCCUCUUGGCAGGCUCUGACCUGUGCACCCCAAAGCCCUCCCAGCCCCAGGGGAAGAAGGAGGUCCUUCAGCAGCCUCCACUUUUCAUGUAUGUACAUAUACAUACAUACAUACAUAGACAUAUGCAGCAGGAAAGAUUAGGUCAGAAACCAUCUCAGCGAAUUUCUAAGGCAGUGGAAAAGUGUGGCUCCAGGAAGAAGGUUUGCUUAAGACCCUGACCACUGGUACAACCACUAUGGAGAACAGUAUGGAGGUACCUUAGAAAACUACACAUAGAACUACCAUAUGACCCAGCAAUCCCACUCUUGGGCAUACAUCCGGACAAAACUUUCCUUAAAAAAGACACAGGCACCACAUGUUCAUUGCAACACUAUUCACAAUAGCCAAGACAUGCAAACAACCCCAAUGUCCAUUGACAGACGAUUGGAUUAAGAUGUGGUAUAUAUAUAUAAUGGAAUACUACUCAGCCAUAAAAAAGAACAAAAUAAUGUCAUUUGCAGCAACAUGGAUGAAACUAGAGACUCUCAUACUGACUGAAGUAAGUCAGAAAGAGAAAGACAAAUACCGUAUGAUAUCACUUAUAUUUGGAAUCUAAUAUACAGCACAAAAGAACCUUUCCACAGAAAAGAAAAUCAUGGACUUGGAGAAUAGACUUGUGGUUGCCAAGGGGGAGGGGGAGGGAGUGGGAUGGAUUGGGAGCUUGGGGUUAACAUAUGUAGGCUAUUGCCUUUGGAAUGGAUUAGCAAUGAGAUCCUGCUGUGUAGCACUGGGAACUAUGCUAGUCACUUAUGAUGGAGCAUGAUAAUAUGAGAAAAAAGAAUGUAUACACUGGGUCACCAUGCUGUACAGUAGGGGAAAAAAAAUAAUGUAUUGGGGAAAUUUUUAAAAAUUUUUAAAAAAAAGACCCAACCAGCUCUACCUUUUGUCUCAGGGCCAGUGCUGUGAGAAGCACUGCUGCCCAGAAUCUUCUCAUUUCCCCUUCUUCCCCCACCAAUCCCCACCCAUCCCCCCAAAACAAAUUCCUCCUCAUGGCCCCGGACUCUGUCCAGUUUGGCCAGGUGUGAGAAAUAUUUCCCCUUUGGCCAGUCAGAGCACUUCCCAAGCAGAGCUCCUUUCUAAUCGGGGUUCCACGGCAGUCACACAUGGGUGGGAGCCAGAGCGGGGAAAGGGGUCAGGAAGAGGGUUCAGGUGUCAGAUAAAAGGGGGUGCAGGAGGCCCCUUAAUCAGCAGCCCAGGUCAAAGGCUUCGCAUGCUCACCUCACAUCAGCAGGUUGGGUGGCUACCUUUCCCUUCCUUGAGGUCAUAGGCGCAUGAGAGUGGGCCUUGCGAGUUCCCAUCUCUCCUGGAGCCUCUGAGCCAGGCGUUGUGUUCCCUGACUUACAGAGGACACUAAGCUCAGAGAAGGGAAGUCACUUGCCACAUGAACAGUGAGAAAUACGUCACAGCCUCCACUCUCCAGAUUCCUCACCCAGGGUUGGCACAAACGCAGAGCUCAAAUGAUUGACCUAAGGGCUGUUAAUUAUCAUAUUUCCUCCUACAACCAGCCAGCAAGGGAAGUGUGACUACCUCCAUUUGUGGAGGAGAAAACUGAGCCUCAGAGGGUCAGGGUGGGCAAACUGGCCCAUGUCUGUAAAUAAAGUUUUAUUGGAACACACUCAGUUGUCUAUGUCAUCCACAGCGGGUUUUCACAGCAAAGGGGAGUGUUGCAGUAGAGAAAUAUGACCCCAAAUGCCUCAAAUAUUCACUAGCUGGCUCUUUAAAAAAAAAAAAAAAAAAA